CGGUCACCAAUGUAGAGUUCCUGCCUGUAGGGCCUGUGGGUCAGUUAAAACUGAGAGACCUCGUAAAAAAAAAAAAAAAGAGAGAGCGAGAGACGGUUUUAUCGGAAGUCGCUGUGAACCUGCGCGGACAUGUUGUGAAGAAUCUCCACCCUGCGCCUGAGGAGACCUACACAGCUGGAGGGCAAAACUGAAAACAGGACCCGGUGUGAAAAAAAAAACAACAAAAAAAACACAGUUUCGCAUUCUUCACACGCCGAGGCAACUCAUGGAACACACCCGGAGUCUCGUAUGACAUGUUCCACAAUGAUAUUUGCCUGUGGAUAUACCAACGAUGCUCCUUUACUGAAGCCAGUGGCUGUCAUUAUUAAUCCGAAUAAACUCUGUUUACUCGUCGUCAAACGUCAUCUGUAUCACCGCAACACGGUGUACGUAUUAACGCAGAAACAAGAACUCCUUUCCGAAUCCUGACCACUACAUCGCAGUGCUUUCACUCCAAAACACCUGACGCAACCCAGUUAACAAGCCUUCUAUUAGUUUCAACACGAGUGUAGUGUAAAACACUACCACUGUGAAGUGUUACUCCGGAUCUCAGCUACGAAACUCUAAACUAUUACAUGUGGCAGCACAACAACUCACUCCUCACUGUACACCUGCCAAACCUGUUCUGCUAUAGACGGAUGACAGACAAAUCAAAAACAAGCCGAAGAACUUGGACAACAGUGGAAAAUUGAAAUCCAGCAGACAACUUUGAUUUCUUCUGUGACGACCAGAGCCAUUUUUCACUAAGUCCCCCUUGCUGGAAUGACAAGCAAGGCAUUAAACUGCUCCGUCACACAUUCCCCUCCCCUCUUUUUCACAGCACAGCCGGGGGAGAUGAAAUCAGGACGAUAAGGCAACACUGGGACAUAUCCAGGAAAUUAAAGCACAUUGAAGGAGACGGCAUGGACAGCAGCCAGCCUCUGUGUUUAACUGACUGUUGUUUGAGUAAAGCACAAAUGACCAGUGGCGUCCCAAGAAGUCGCUCUACUUACAGAAGAAAAGAAACUUCAGCCUCCUGGAGUGAGUUUCCGCCUCCAUUCAGUAGGCUUCUCUAAUUCAUUUAUAUAAUUAUAUAACUGGCUUAAGGCACAAAUCAAUUGACGAGAUUGCGCAAAAUGAACCAAAGGACAUGAGCAAAACAAACCUCUUACUGUGAAGUCCAGCUAAUUUCCACUAAAAAUUUCAGCGUCCAUUAAAGCAGACACUGCAUGUAAUUACUAAGUUAUUUUAACUCUAAAAGAUAACAAACAGAAUCAGUGAUCCGGUUCUUAUCGCCACAGGAGAGAGGAAAGGGGGUGCAGAACAGAAUAAUUAGCCAGAGAGACUCAGGCAAAGUCAACAGGUUUGAAUCAUGCCAUUUACACUGGCCUCGCUGGACUCCCACACAUAAUUAUAAAAUCUGCUUAGCUGAAUCAUAAAAAUAAAAUAAAAAAACAUGGAAUGAGGGCACGGAGGACCAUCAGUGAAGCCAUUAGUGGCCUAUGUCUAUUUUAUAACCUUGCAUUAAACUGCUGUGUGAUGAGAAUGCGAAAGUGCUAACAGGAAGGUUGGAAUCCUACAGUGUUUGUUAACCAUAUUACACAGGUGAAUCCUUCAUGAAUAUUCCAUCAAUCCAUUUUCAGUACUGCUUAUCCUACACGGUCAGGUGACCCCACAGGUUAUGGUUAGGAGUGCCAACAUUUUUGCCACAUGUCUAUUUAGGAAAAAUACCAACUUUCCUCUAGCUGUUUGUGUAAAUUUUUAAUUAUACUAUCCUUUGGGUCCUGCCAGUGGGGUGUCAAUCAUUCUGAAGUGAAGAGUGUGGAAUAUAAACACAUUUUCAUUCAGUCAGAUCAAACACACAGACCAAACCCUCACAUAAACAAGUGCAUCUUGUGACUUUUGUCUGGUGAUCAGCCAGCGCUCAAAACUUCUGCAGCCAGUACUGUAACUGUAAAUUAAAUUCCAUACACUUCUACAGUACAUAUUAAUGAACACAAUCCUACUAGUCAAAUAUUAGAACUAUUAUUCGAAUGUGUAUAAUAACAUACAAUAACAUGCAAUAAAAUGUAUAAUAUCCAUACAGCUUUUUAUUCUGAACUUUCUCUGGCAGAACACACUGAGUUUAAGCUGACAUUAUUUAUAGGCUGGUUUUGUAGUUUUGUUUCUUGGGUAUAUAUAUAUAUAUAUAUAUAUAUAUGCAUAAGUAAACAAUUGCCACACCAUCCAACAAUAUAGAUGGGCUGUAGGCCAACAUACUCACAAAAAGAAGCCACGGGAGGCAAAUCAAAUGGUUCACAGCUGCUCAGUCAAACAUUCUAUUGUACCAAGUAACAAUGCGCUGGAGUUUUAAAAGCCUGUAAAUUGCCAAAAUAUGUGCACCCAACAACAUCAGGAGGCAGACUAUUCCAAAUCUUGUGUGGAGAAUGGAUCUAUCGAGUAGAUGGGUCCUGGCCAUUGGAAUGGAACAUGCUGGAGUGUCGAGACACACCCUCUAGUGGUUCACCCUGAGGUCCAGAUUUGAGUAAUUGAGGUUUGGAUUAAACCAAUUCAAAUGACCAGGCAAACAGGCUAUAAAGCUCAAUAAUAAAUAUAAUGUAUUUGAUAAUGGUGGGUCGUAAUUUCCACCGACCAUAAACAACAAACAACAACAACAAAAAACAGACUGCAGACCUCCUAGAUUUGAUUUAUGGACCAUGGGAGGUCCUCAGACUGCACUUUGAGAACCAAUGACCUAGAGCAGGGUAUAGAGUAUUCAGAAAACCAGCCCGUAGUCCACUAUACCUCCAUCAUCCAGACCCAUAAUGCCUCAUGUCCUUCUAGAUGCCACUUUGAGCUACAAGUUAUACAUUGAAGGAGCCACCCUCUUGGAAGGAGCAACUUUACGGACAGUACAUGCAUUCAGAACGUCCAUCAAAACUUUGGCAAAAAUCCCAUUACACUGGGAAGCAUUUGGAUGCAAGGACCAAUUACAUCAAGGAGUUAAAUUCCACUGGAAAAUGCUCUUUAUGUGCUUUAUGCGGUUGUUGAGGCAGGCUAGAGAGCUGUGUUUACAGUUCAUUUCACUUUAGUACAGUUUAGAUUCUUUUUAACUGACCCUCAGUUUUUAGUUAAUGUUGCUAAUACUUAGUACUGCAUGUCAAGGUUGGUAUGAUUAGCUUUGCAAUUAGAUUUGUGUUUUGUUUGUCAGGCUGUAUUUAUCAUGAUGUCACUAGUUUGAGCUUUAUCUAAACUCAAAGCUUUUUUU
Long non-coding RNA from Ictalurus punctatus (channel catfish), 3265 nucleotides. RefSeq lists it as uncharacterized. The record is from RefSeq and is a predicted model, not a curated record. The transcript is spliced from 2 exons. Lineage: Eukaryota; Metazoa; Chordata; Actinopteri; Siluriformes; Ictaluridae.